RNAcentral lists this unclassified non-coding RNA (576 nucleotides) under Hevea brasiliensis (rubber tree). The record is from RNAcentral. Lineage: Eukaryota; Viridiplantae; Streptophyta; Magnoliopsida; Malpighiales; Euphorbiaceae.
AGGAAUGUUACUCAUCAUCAUUUCGAGUUCUGCCAAACAAUGCAAUUUCCUCCUCGGCCAUCUUUUUUGCAGCCCUCUUCUGCAUCCUUCUGGUUUCUCUGGCAGCUGAAUCAAUUUGAACUUUCUCCAUUACUGUACCAAAACCGGGAACUGUCCUGUUCAGCUUGUUGUACACUCGUACACUGAGGUCGUGGAAUAUUUGAAACAAUCGAAUGACAUCCUUAUUCCAUUCAGCGAUAUAUGGAGGGCCUGUUGUGUAUGAACCAAGAGGCUCGCGGUACCAUUCACCACCAUAUGUUAUUUGAUCCAUGGCUUGUUCAACACUUAGAACCUCCCAUGGCCUCAAUCCAGGAAUAACCUUCUCUAGUUCUUUCCUGAGAUCUUUUGGGAUAUAUUUGUUUGGCAUGUGGUCAGCCUCCAAAAUUGAUGUCAGCUCUGAGCCACUAGCCCAAAGAAACAUGGUAUGACUCGGAAUCCUUACACCAGGCCAGACACCAUCAUUUGCUUCUAGCACAGCCAAAUCACGCCUUCUACUUUCAUAAGCUUCUUCUUGCAUCUGCUUAUAUGUCUUUGGCU